CCUACGGGAGGCAGCAGUGCGGGAAUAUUGCACAAUGUGAGGAAACCCUGAUGCAGCGACGCCGCGUGAGUGAAGAAGUAUUUCGGUAUGUAAAGCUCUAUCAGCAGGAAAGAAAAUGACGGUACCUGACUAAGAAGCCCCGGCUAACUACGUGCCAGCAGCCGCGGUAAU
This 171-nucleotide ribosomal RNA is filed under the name uncultured rumen bacterium. RNAcentral's name for it is "partial 16S ribosomal RNA". It matches the Rfam family "Bacterial small subunit ribosomal RNA", at positions 338 to 524 of the family's 1533-position model. The record is from RNAcentral.